RNAcentral lists this ribosomal RNA (553 nucleotides) under Vibrio sp. JKW. RNAcentral describes it as "bacterial SSU rRNA". It matches the Rfam family "Bacterial small subunit ribosomal RNA", at positions 372 to 918 of the family's 1533-position model. The record is from RNAcentral. Lineage: Bacteria; Pseudomonadati; Pseudomonadota; Gammaproteobacteria; Vibrionales; Vibrionaceae.
UGGGCGCUUGCCUGAUGCAGCCUGCCGCGUGUGUGAAGAAGGCCUUCGGGUUGUAAAGUACUUUCAGUCGUGAGGAAGGCGGUGUCGUUAAUAGCGGCAUCGUUUGACGUUAGCGACAGAAGAAGCACCGGCUAACUCCGUGCCAGCAGCCGCGGUAAUACGGAGGGUGCGAGCGUUAAUCGGAAUUACUGGGCGUAAAGCGCAUGCAGGUGGUUUGUUAAGUCAGAUGUGAAAGCCCGGGGCUCAACCUCGGAAUAGCAUUUGAAACUGGCAGACUAGAGUACUGUAGAGGGGGGUAGAAUUUCAGGUGUAGCGGUGAAAUGCGUAGAGAUCUGAAGGAAUACCGGUGGCGAAGGCGGCCCCCUGGACAGAUACUGACACUCAGAUGCGAAAGCGUGGGGAGCAAACAGGAUUAGAUACCCUGGUAGUCCACGCCGUAAACGAUGUCUACUUGGAGGUUGUGGCCUUGAGCCGUGGCUUUCGGAGCUAACGCGUUAAGUAGACCGCCUGGGGAGUACGGUCGCAAGAUUAAAACUCAAAUGAAUUGACGGGG